UACGUAGGCAGCGAGCGUUGUUCGGAGUUACUGGGCGUAAAGAGUGCGUAGGCGGUUGACUAAGUUUGGUGUGAAAUCUCCCGGCUCAACUGGGAGGGUGCGCCGAAAACUGGUUGGCUGGAGUGUGGGAGAGGUCAGCGGAAUUCCUGGUGUAGCGGUGAAAUGCGUAGAUAUCGGGAGGAACACCAGCGGCGAAGGCGGCUUUCUGGACCAAUACUGACGCUGAGACGCGAAAGCGUGGGGAGCAAACAGG
This 253-nucleotide ribosomal RNA is filed under the name uncultured bacterium. Its description in RNAcentral is "partial 16S ribosomal RNA". It matches the Rfam family "Bacterial small subunit ribosomal RNA", at positions 524 to 776 of the family's 1533-position model. The record is from RNAcentral.